Pelobates cultripes (western spadefoot toad) is the source of this 237-nucleotide non-coding RNA. Lineage: Eukaryota; Metazoa; Chordata; Amphibia; Anura; Pelobatidae. The record is from the annotation of a GenBank genome assembly.
CAGGAAAUAUCGGUAUGAGCUGCUGAAGCUAGCUCGUUUCGGCUUACCGUUAUUAAAGACCCAUUCGGCAGAGUAGCUGUCGAUAUCAUAGGCUCCCUAGCUAAGCCUAGUCCCUAGGAAGAAGUACAUUCUGACCAUGGUGGACUACGCGACUCGGUAUCCCGAGGCAGUAGCCCUGAGCAACAUUCGGGCAAAGACUGUGGCUAAAGCCCUGAUGCAAGUGUUCUCACAGAUGGG